This 497-nucleotide ribosomal RNA is filed under the name uncultured bacterium. RNAcentral describes it as "partial 16S ribosomal RNA". It matches the Rfam family "Bacterial small subunit ribosomal RNA", at positions 28 to 507 of the family's 1533-position model. The record is from RNAcentral.
GAUGAACGCUGGCGGCGUGCCUAAUACAUGCAAGUCGAGCGAACAGACGAGGAGCUUGCUCCUCUGACGUUAGCGGCGGACGUGUGAGUAACACGUGUAUAACCUACCUAUAAGACUGGGAUAACUUCGGGAAACCGGAGCUAAUACCGGAUAAUAUAUUGAACCGCAUGGUUCAAUAGUGAAAGACGGUUUUGCUGUCACUUAUAGAUUGAUCCGCGCCGCAUUAGCUAGUUGGUAAGGUAACGGCUUACCAAGGCAACGAUGCGUAGCCGACCUGAGAGGGUGAUCGGCCACACUGGAACUGAGACACGGUCCAGACUCCUACGGGAGGCAGCAGUAGGGAAUCUUCCGCAAUGGGCGAAAGCCUGACGGAGCAACGCCGCGUGAGUGAUGAAGGUCUUCGGAUCGUAAAACUCUGUUAUUAGGGAAGAACAAAUGUGUAAGUAACUAUGCACGUCUUGACGGUACCUAAUCAGAAAGCCACGGCUAACUACGUG